Molecule: long non-coding RNA, 1042 nt
Filed under: Anas platyrhynchos platyrhynchos (common mallard)
Lineage: Eukaryota; Metazoa; Chordata; Aves; Anseriformes; Anatidae
Description: lncRNA (ENSAPLG00000023049.1)
Source: RNAcentral
AUGGCUUCACAACUGCUCAGUAACUACUGCUAAGAAUAUCACAUCCGUUAUGCUGUUUAUUGAAAAGCUUUAUAGAGCACUGAGUAUUUACAAGUUUGAAAACAACUGUUCAUUCCACUUCAGGUCUAGAAAGACAUAGGCAUGCAUCUGACCAUAUUUGUGGAAAGUAACUCAGCUGUACAAUUUGAAAACAUGUUCAGUCAGUUGCUAUUAGAGUAUUGCUAGAAGCUGAACUCAUUACCUCACACUGUUGCUUAUAUAUAUUUCAAAUAAGCUGAACCACGGCCAGCAGGCCUUUGGCAGAAUUCAUUAGAGACUGGGAUAUCAGGACAACUGCAGUUAAGCAAGAAAACUUGUUAUGAGAUGAGGAGACAAAAAUUCAAUUUAAUUUAUUUACAAGUCCAGGUCUGCAAUUGAAUAUUUGGUCAAACUACUGCCAUAUUCUUCCUUCAAGUCACUAUGCUAUGAAGAGGCAUGCACCGUGCAUAGAACAGAGCCAUCUGUACCCUUUCAGAUAGAGCAAAUGUAUGACUUCAUAACAAUGUCCUCCUUCAAGAAAACAGAACAAAAGAAAGCAAUUAUUAAUAGUUAUUAAGAACGCUUCGCUGGAGUCUAGAAAUACAGAAUGACAGACACACCUACCUCAAUGGGUUGCAUUUACAUCAGAGCAGUGAUCAGCCUACCAGGAAAAUUAUCACUGUAACCAACACACUCAUUGUUGAAAGUGAUCAUGAGAUUCUGAACUGUAGUUUAGGGAAGCGAUGGAGGCGGCAGAAGGCCGGGCGAGAGCUGUGCUACCCGUGCAGGACAGUUCGAGAGUGACACCGCGUGGAGCCGCUGGGAGCGGCCCCUAAGGCUCAGCCAGAGGAAGGAACUAAGCACUGCUACAGCCUGGAAAGAAAUUUAAACAGGCAGAUAGUCCUUUGUGUUUAAUCCAGGAUAAGGAAAAAAAAAAAAAAAAAAAAACAACAACUAUAUGCUUUCACUUAUGCAUUUAUUUUUAGGCAUUUGCUACACUGCUAGGCGUAUCUUGCACCUAAAA